UAGCUAGACACAGAGGAAAAGAAAAAGGAAAGACAGAAAGCACCUCCUCCCUAUUUAUUUCUUAGUACCUGUCUUGUUCUUUACUUCUACUUCUUCUCAUUCAUCUAUUCUUUCCUUCUUCUUCUUCUGUGCUUUUACAGACUCAGGUGAGAGAUGGGAUGUGGAAAUUCCUCACAAGCCACCGCCAACAGCAGCAACAGCAGCACUGGAGGUCGUGUUGAGUCUUCAUCAAAGGUAUCAGAAGAGUCUGUGCCAGGAGAUGACAAAUGGCAGAACUAUGGAGGUGUGUAUGUGGGUUUUCCUGCUGACCUGAGCAACAUUCCUCAAGUACAGAUAGGAUCACUCAGAGAGCAUGAGAGAGACUUGUUGUCCCUCAGGAGGCCGCUGUGGGGGGACGGACUCUGAUUUUAAUGAAGAGCCCAGAGGUGCAACAGACGAAUGAUACAGAAGAAAGAAAGAAGAAGAAAGUGUUUGUCAUCAGGAACUUACCAAGUCUCGAACGGGAAACAGCAGCACCCAGCGAGCCAAUCUUCUCUCCCGGCGUCCUCUGUGAGGACUUUAAUGGGAUCAGCUCCACCUGGAUAAACUGGCUGUGGAGCCCGUUGUGUCAAACAAACUGGCUAAAGACGUUUGUGAUUUUAUGGGAGCAGAUGUCAACCUGAACUCUUAAAAAACAGUGACGGUUUGCAUUUAGAUCAUUGCAUGAAGAGGAUGCAGGUUUUUUUAUUGGAAGCUGUGGUAGCGCUCCUUGUUGAGAGUAAGUACAGUAGUACUAAUUUAAGCUCUGAAUAUCUUGUACGAUUACACGUAACAUAUAUUGAUGGACAGGUCCUGUGAUAUUCA
Molecule: long non-coding RNA, 843 nt
Organism: Perca flavescens (yellow perch)
Lineage: Eukaryota; Metazoa; Chordata; Actinopteri; Perciformes; Percidae
Exons: 6
Source: RefSeq, a predicted model, not a curated record